UUAAUCGGAAUUACUGGGCGUAAAGCGUGCGUAGGUGGCAUGUUAAGUCAGAUGUGAAAGCCCUGGGCUUAACCUGGGAACGGCAUUUGAAACUGGCAAGCUAGAGUUGAGUAGAGGGGGGCGGAAUUUCCGGUGUAGCGGUGAAAUGCGUAGAUAUCGGAAGGAACACCCGUGGCGAAGGCGGCUCCCUGGACUCAAACUGACGCUGAGGUACGAAAGCGUGGGUAGCAAACAGGAUUAGAUACCCUGGUAGUCCACGCCCUAAACGAUGCCAUCUAGGUGUUGGGGAAGGAGACUUCCUUAGUACCGUAGCUAACGCGUGAAGUUGGCCGCCUGGGGAGUACGGUCGCAAGAUUAAAACUCAAAGGAAUUGACGGGGACCCGCACAAGCGGUGGAUGAUGUGGAUUAAUUCGAUGCAAUGCGAAAAACCUUACCUACCCUUGACAUGUCCGGAAUCCUGCUGAGAGGUGGGAGUGCUCGAAAGAGAGCCGGAACACAGGUGCUGCAUGGCUGUCGUCAGCUCGUGUCGUGAGAUGUUGGGUUAAGUCCCGCAACGAGCGCAACCCUUGUCAUUAGUUGCCAUCAUUUAGUUGGGCACUCUAAUGAGACUGCUCGGUGACAAANCCGGAGGAAGGUGGGGAUGACGUCAAGUCCUCAUGGCCCUUAUGGGUAGGGCUUCACACGUCAUACAAUGGUCGGUACAGAGGGUCGCCAACCCGCGAGGGGGAGCCAAUCUCACAAAGCCGAUCGUAGUCCGGAUUGGAGUCUGCAACUCGACUCCAUGAAGUCGGAAUCGCUAGUA
Molecule: ribosomal RNA, 803 nt
Filed under: uncultured Rhodocyclales bacterium
Lineage: Bacteria; Pseudomonadati; Pseudomonadota; Betaproteobacteria; Rhodocyclales
Description: bacterial SSU rRNA
Rfam family: Bacterial small subunit ribosomal RNA
Source: RNAcentral